ACUAAGGAUGGGUUAAAGGAAAGCAGGCAGUCCCUCCCCCUCAAAUUCCAAGAAAGUCUAUGAGGCUAGAGUUGUUCACUUUGGAGUGGCUGUUCAAGCAGCCAGGGUAGAGUGGGGAUGACCCAGGAAUGUCAGAGCAUGCCAUUGACCCCUAUCUGUUGGAAUCAUGGCAUUUCACAAAUGUAGCCUCACUUGUAUCCCUCUGGUGAUGGGAACCUCAUUCCCUCUUUAUGCUUUUUUGUUCUCGAAGAGAUCAGUCCAGGAAGAUAAAUGAAAACAGAUGACUCUGCCCUGUCCU
RNAcentral lists this long non-coding RNA (298 nucleotides) under Bos taurus (domestic cattle). RNAcentral describes it as "long non-coding RNA NONBTAT009173". The record is from RNAcentral. Lineage: Eukaryota; Metazoa; Chordata; Mammalia; Artiodactyla; Bovidae.